UCUUUCCAGUUAGUAUCAUAUUCUAACUGAAUUAAUAAGUCAUACUUUAUGCCUUUUCUUCACCUGUCAAAACGUCCAAACUGAUUUUGUUUUUUAUUUUUAUAGUCUAAACUGAGCUGGCUUCCAUUUCUGACAGAUUUGACUUUGAAAUGUUUUUACUUAUCUGAAAGGUAGGAAGAUUUUUCGUUCUGGUCUGAAUCUCCAACUUCUGUCUUCUUAAGCUACUCGCUUGAGAUCUUUCCCCAGGCUAAAUUAGAAAGGUAAAUCUGCUUCAAAAUAUAAUUAGAUAGGACCUUUUUGAAAAAUGAUAGUGCUAUUUAUAUGAUAUUAAUUACCUGCCUUUAUAACUAUUUGGAUUGAAUGAACCAGUUUAGGUCAUAAUUCAUAAGAUUGAAAAGAAAAAACAAAAAAUUUUAGUUGCUAACUGUAAGAAACCACAGUGAAAAAUCACUGAAAUCCACUUUUUAAAAAUGGUGCCGAGACUAGAGAACAACUUGGUUCAGAGAAGUGUUUGAGAAAAGUCUGCCUUGUGAUGUAUGUCCAUUUCAAAAAUUUAUUUUGUAGUUUAAGUAUAGA
RNAcentral lists this long non-coding RNA (576 nucleotides) under Bos taurus (domestic cattle). RNAcentral's name for it is "long non-coding RNA NONBTAT018265". Lineage: Eukaryota; Metazoa; Chordata; Mammalia; Artiodactyla; Bovidae. The record is from RNAcentral.